GAUGAACGCUGGCGGCGUGCCUAAUACAUGCAAGUCGAGCGAACAGACGAGGAGCUUGCUCCUCUGACGUUAGCGGCGGACGGGUGAGUAACACGUGGAUAACCUACCUAUAAGACUGGGAUAACUUCGGGAAACCGGAGCUAAUACCGGAUAAUAUAUUGAACCGCAUGGUUGAAUAGUGAAAGACGGUUGUGCUGGAACGUAUAGAUGGAUCCGCGCCGCAUUAGCUAGUUGGUAAGGUAACGGCUUACCAAGGCAACGAUGCGUAGCCGACCUGAGAGGGUGAUCGCCCACACUGGAACUGAGACACGGUCCAGACUCCUACGGGAGGCAGCAGUAGGGAAUCUUCCGCAAAGGGCGAAAGCCUGACGGAGCAACGCCGCGUGAGUGAUGAAGGUCUUCGGAUCGUAAAACUCUGUUAUUAGGGAAGAACAAAUGUGUAAGUAACUAUGCACGUCUUGACGGUACCUAAUCAGAAAGCCACGGCUAACUACGUG
This 497-nucleotide ribosomal RNA is filed under the name uncultured bacterium. RNAcentral's name for it is "partial 16S ribosomal RNA". It matches the Rfam family "Bacterial small subunit ribosomal RNA", at positions 28 to 507 of the family's 1533-position model. The record is from RNAcentral.